Molecule: long non-coding RNA, 669 nt
Organism: Clupea harengus (Atlantic herring)
Lineage: Eukaryota; Metazoa; Chordata; Actinopteri; Clupeiformes; Clupeidae
Source: Ensembl
UCAUAUAUCACAGCGGCAUUUAUGCGCAUAGUAGCAUUUGUGUAUUAUAGUCACAAUCAUGUGUUAGAGUGAGAUUAUAGUCACAAUCAUGUGUUACAGGAGGAUUAUAGUCGCAUUCAUGUGUUAGAGUGAGAUUAAAGUCACAAUCAUAUGUUACAGGAGGAUUAUAGUCUCAUUCAUGUGUUAAAGUGAGAUUAUAGUCGCAAUCAUGUGUUAGAGUGGGAUUAUAGUCCCAUUUACAGUACCAGUCAAAAGUUUGGACACACCUUGAAUUGUUUUCUUUACUUUUAUUAUUUUCUACAUUGUAGAUUAAUACUGAAGACAUUUUAACUACGAAAGAACACAUAUGGAAUGAUGUUCUAAACAAAAAAAAGUGUUAUCUACCAUGUAGAAAAUAAUAAAAGUAAAGAAAAAACUUCUCAAAAAAUGAGAAAGUGUGUCCAAACUUUUGACUGGUACUGUAUGUGUUACAGUGGGAUUACAGUUGCAUUCAUGUAUUAAAGUGGAAUUUUAGUCGCAUUCAUGUAUUACAGGUGGAUUAUAGGUGCAAUCAUGUGUUAGAGUGAGAUUAAAGUCACAAUCAUAUGUUACAGGAGGAUUAUAGUCGCAUUCAUGUGUUAGAGUAGGAUUAUUGUCGCAUUUAUGUGUUAGAGUGAGAUUAUAGUCACA